Molecule: ribosomal RNA, 465 nt
Filed under: Vreelandella stevensii
Lineage: Bacteria; Pseudomonadati; Pseudomonadota; Gammaproteobacteria; Oceanospirillales; Halomonadaceae
Description: partial 16S ribosomal RNA
Rfam family: Bacterial small subunit ribosomal RNA
Source: RNAcentral
CCUACGGGGGGCUGCAGUGGGGAAUAUUGGACAAUGGGGGCAACCCUGAUCCAGCCAUGCCGCGUGUGUGAAGAAGUCCCUCGGGUUGUAAAGCACUUUCAGUGAGGAAGAACGCCUGGUGGUUAAUACCCAUCAGGAAAGACAUCACUCACAGAAGAAGCACCGGCUAACUCCGUGCCAGCAGCCGCGGUAAUACGGAGGGUGCGAGCGUUAAUCGGAAUUACUGGGCGUAAAGCGCGCGUAGGUGGCUUGAUAAGCCGGUUGUGAAAGCCCCGGGCUCAACCUGGGAACGGCAUCCGGAACUGUCAAGCUAGAGUGCAGGAGAGGAAGGUAGAAUUCCCGGUGUAGCGGUGAAAUGCGUAGAGAUCGGGAGGAAUACCAGUGGCGAAGGCGGCCUUCUGGACUGACACUGACACUGAGGUGCGAAAGCGUGGGUAGCAAACAGGAUUAGAUACCCUAGUAGUC